This 433-nucleotide ribosomal RNA is filed under the name uncultured bacterium. Its description in RNAcentral is "partial 16S ribosomal RNA". It matches the Rfam family "Bacterial small subunit ribosomal RNA", at positions 29 to 507 of the family's 1533-position model. The record is from RNAcentral.
AGCGAACGCUGGCGGCAGGCCUAACACAUGCAAGUCGAACGGCUCCAUCGUGAUUAGUGGCUGAUGGGUGAGUAACACGUCGGAACGUGCCCUUUGGCUCGGAACUAUUCAGUGACAUUUGAGCUAAUACCGGAUGUGUCCUUCGGGGGAAAGAUUUAUCGCCAUUGGAGCGGCACGCGUCUGAUUAGCUAGUUGGUGAGGUAACGGCCCACCAAGGCGACGAUCAGUAGCUGGUCUGAGAGGAUGAUCAGCCACACUGGGACUGAGACACGGCCCAGACUCCUACGGGAGGCAGCAGUGGGGAAUCUUGCGCAAUGGGCGAAAGCCUGACGCAGCCAUGCCGCGUGAAUGAUGAAGGUCUUAGGAUUGUAAAAUUCUUUCAGCGGGGACGAUAAUGACGGUACCCGCAGAAGAAGCUCCGGCUAACUUCGUG